This 720-nucleotide ribosomal RNA is filed under the name uncultured bacterium. RNAcentral describes it as "bacterial SSU rRNA". It matches the Rfam family "Bacterial small subunit ribosomal RNA", at positions 406 to 1112 of the family's 1533-position model. The record is from RNAcentral.
GGAGGAAGCCCUUCGGGGUGUAAACCCCUGUUGGCGAGGGAAGAAGCCGUCCCUUCGGGGACGGUUGACGGUACCUCGCGAGAAAGCCCCGGCUAACUCCGUGCCAGCAGCCGCGGUAAAACGGAGGGGGCGAGCGUUGCCCGGAUUUACUGGGCUUAAAGGGUCCGUAGGCGGUGUUCCAAGUCCCCCGUGAAAGCUGCCCGCUCAACGGGCAGAGGUCGGGGGAGACUGGAGCACUUGAGGGCGGAAGAGGCCGGCGGAACGGCGGGUGUAGCGGUGAAAUGCGUCGAUAUCCGCCGGAACACCAGUGGCGAAGGCGGCCGGCUGGGACGCCCCUGACGCUGAGGGACGAAGGCCGGGGGAGCGAACCGGAUUAGAUACCCGGGUAGUCCCGGCAGUAAACGUUGGGCGCUAGGUGUGGGGAGUCUCGACCCUCCCCGUGCCGCAGGGAAACCAAUAAGCGCCCCGCCUGGGGAGUACGGGCGCAAGCCUGAAACUCAAACCAAUUGACGGGGGCCCGCACAAGCGGCGGAGCAUGUGGCUUAAUUCGAUGCUACCCGAAGAACCUUACCAGGGCUUGACAUGCUGGCUUAAGCCCGCCCGAAAGGGUUGGGUGGGACGGUUUACGCCGUCCAGCCAGCACAGGUGGUGCACGGCUGUCGUCAGCUCGUGCCGUGAGGUGUCCGGUUAAGUCCGGCAACGAGCGCAACCCCCGCCGCC